UUUUCAUUUAUAAGAUCAUGAAAUCAUUUACUCAUUUGUCUUAUACAAACCAUCGAGAUAGAUAGUUAUUUUAAGUUAGUGUCAUAUAUAAAUAUAUAAUUGAGUAAAUUAUACAAGUAUAUAGUGAGUUGAUAAUUAAAAAAAUACAAAGGGAAUGGAUUGUUUUGAAAUUGUACAGCUUUUUAUCUACACAUUCCAUGGAUUUGGACAAACGAUGAUGCAUGACGACAUGACGUUUAACUAUCUAAUCAGAUGAGGAUAACAAACAUUAGAAAAAUAAAAUCUAAAAGCUGAUUUGAUUUCAUGACGAAACUAAAUUCAUGACCAAUUAAAUCUUAGUAAUUCGUGGUAACGAUUUAUAACAGAGCUCAUAGAAGAAACAAGAGCAAGUGGUCCAUAUGGACCAAUAAGAGCCUUUCCUUGUGAGCAAAGAUUAAUGUCAUCCACACAAAUAUCAGAAAGAAACAAAAACAAAAUCUAUAAUAUAAUAGGAGAGUUGAGUCUUUCCUGAAGUGACACCUCAGCGUUUUAGUGGGUCCCACUUUUAAAAAGUUUGAAAAAGUACCAUACAUGUGUUUCGAACCCAGGUUAUUGAGCUAUAAACACCAACAUUUAUACCACUAAACUAAAGAAUACUUUGUACAUUGAUGGCCGCAACUAAUAUAUAUUUAUGAAAGUUGGAAACUUUUGCUUCUUCAGUUUUCUCUGUGGGUCAUGCCUACAAGUGUAUUAUGAGUUUCAUUUUUAAAUAAGGUUCAUCACGUUAAUCUUCUACUUAUCAUAUUUAUUUAGUAUAAUUGUUUUUAUUUGAUUUCAUGAUUCUUUGUUAAAUAAUAUUAUUUGCCGAUUUCGUGAUUCAUGGGUUUUUUUCGGCCUGACAUGCUAAUCAUUACAUGCCAUCUUUGAAAGUCGGUUCCAUUGUGAAAGUCGAUCGUUUUGAGGUUGCUAGGUGUUCAAGCAUGUACAAGAUAAUUGAUCACCCAUUCUUCAUUCGUUUCAUCUCACCAACUAUUAUUGAUGAAGUCAUCACGGGUGCUCCUGAGAUCAAUCUCCAAUCAUUAUUAGACUGUUGACAAUUUCUAAGUGAUUGCGAACACAAACCUACAACUCCCAUAUAUAUUAUCAUAUUGCAUCUGGGUUUAUAAUAUGUUUCGUUAUCAUAACUAAUAUUUAAACUCGCAGAUGUGGUUGGGAAAAUCCGUUAUGUCCAAGGCUCUGACCUUAGCAAAGAAACAACUUGAGUCGUUAUCCGUCUCCUCAUUGAUCCGUAAGAAACAAUCAACAAACAAUUAUCUUUAUAUUAUUAUUAAUAUUGUGCUAACAUCAAUAAUCAAAAAUAUUUCCUACCCAAAUUAUGUGGUCGUCUACUUAUCUCUCUUACUUAUCAAACUAAUUUUACACAAACUUUUAUUUUACAGCUUAAAGAAACCACAACAACCCAAACAAUCAAAACACCAAAAACUAGAAUUCCAAAAAAGAUGAAUCAUUAAUAAUCACCUCUCUUUUUUGUCUAAUCUUAGAAAUAAACUUCAAAAUAAAUAUAUCAAACCAAUCACCUCAACUAAUACUCAACGACACAUAAAUCGAGUCAGGCAAACAAAUACAAACUUCACGACCAGCUAUUUAACAAUUUACAAACUUACUUUCGCAACGAAGAAGACGAAGACGACAACCAAGAUCAGUGAAAUUACCUGAACAAAAAAGCAGAGUAAGUUAUGAACUCUGAUAAAUACAUCUAAUAAUGAUUUUUGUUUACAUAUUACCCAUCAAAUAAAAUAUAAACAAACACAACCACAACAGAAGAUACAAGAGAUAAUCCCGACAGACACAAAGGCGGCAACAACAUCUCCACAUGCUCACUCCUCUUGUCUUAUAAAAAUAGCUUACAUGCCCAAUGUCAACAAGUCAAUGCUAUUGUUUUCUUAUGAGAAAUACAUAAAUUCGUUUAAAACUCAUUAAAGCCUAAAUACUCAUAACUAUCAAUCAUUUUAUAGUUAUUUCUACAAGUCUUCAUGUAUUUGUUUUAAAGGUUCGGUAAGAGCAACAAGUUUAAAAAUAAAAUAAAAACAUAUAACAAAUAUAAUAAAGAUAAUAAAAACUAUUACUUAAUACACACAACUUACACAACUAAACUGGAGAGAAAAUAUCUAGAAACAAAAGGUACGUUCCACAACUUUAAUAUAAUUUAUGUACUCUCAACAUUACAAUAAACAAAUUAAAAAGACAAACAAACAAUAAGUCUCACUGACACAGCAAACAACAACACAAACUAUAUAAAUCACAUUAUUAACAUAGUUUAGUACUUCAUAAGUGGAGAACAAUGCAUACACAGUUCAUCAUUACAAAUCUAAUCCUAUAACAAUAAAAAGACCUUGAAAAAUAACUCAAAACGCAAAAUUCACAACUAUAAUAACCCUAGCAAAUAUUAAGAUGAAACAAGAACUUUGUCCACAACCCCGCGCUUGCGCGGGGGCAAUGCCCCUAGUCUAUUAUAUAAUAGGAGAGUUUCUCUCCUCCUGAUGCGACACGUCAGCGGUUUGUGGGUCCCACUUUUUAAAAGUGUGAAAAAGUGUCAAAUAUGUGAUUUGAACCCAGGCUAUUGAGAUAUAAACACCCACAACUAUACCACUACACUAAAGGAUACUUUGUACAAUGAUGGCCGAAACUAAUAUAUAUUAUGAAGGUCGGAAAUUAAUAUAACAUUGUGGACCCCACCUCUUUUUUUUUUUUAAAUUGAUGGGUAAAGAAUGGACUUCGAUAAAAAGUGGGCUUUGGGCUUAUUUAUUUUCUGUUUAUUAGGCUUUGUAUCUGUCCAAAGUGGUGAUACAGACAAAGCUAAGAAGAUUAGGGAAGCCGCCAUCUUCACCAUCUCCUUCGUCGCUUGCGAUUCUCCUUCCGGCAACAAGCUAUUAUGGUCGAUCUUUAAGGCUCUAUGCACGUUUUGCGCCUACCAAACGCUUAGUUUCUCCUCUAACGCCUUCAGAGCUCUCAUAUAUAUAGAAUCCCUCGAGCUGCUCCAGCCGCUUCAGCCGCCAUUGCCGCCGUUCCCUACUCCACCUUCAACUCUCUCCGCCUUGGAAGGUCCACUCAGUCCAUUGUUGGUCGACUCAUCCGAUUCUAGGAUUCCAGUAACAUUAACAAGAAUGGAGAGUUUAUGGACAUCACCAUUCUCCUCCUUGAUGAACUGGUGAUGAUUGUUUCUAACUUAUUUUUUAUCACUUUAACUCUGCUUUGCUUAUUCUUUGUUCAUAUAUGAAACGUGUCUUCAUGUUUUUGUUUUGGUUUUGUCUAUGGGUUUUUUUAUGAACAAAUAAUGAUUUUUCUCUGUUUUUCUUACAGGAUUCUGUGAUCCACAGUUUCAUCCCUGCAAUCUCCAAACAAAAUAGGAAAACUGAAUGAAUUAUGUUUUUAGCAACCGAAUCUAAAAGAAAUAAAAGACAUCUUACUUAACAAAUUAAAACCUUUUAUUUUGCAGAUUCCGACGACGACGAAGCACCCGAGGACCAACGACAAUGGAAUGAUGCGGACGAAGCCUAACUGAUGGAUCCCACAGGUGAUGCUGUCCCGACGACGGAGAAAAAAAAAGAAAGAUAACCUAACGUUUUUUUUUUAUUUUUAGUUUUUAAGUUCAAAUCAUGUUUUAGACAUAGAGCCCAACAUAACUUGAGCCCAAACAUUUUAAACCCACAAUUACUUUUUCAUAAUGUAAAAACGUCAACCUUCGUUUAUGUUUUGUUAAACUAUUUUAAUCUUUAUGUUUUGUUAAACUAUUUCACACAGGGGGCAGAUCUCCUUAAAAGGGGAGCCACUCGCCACGAUGCUUCCAGUUUCACCAUUCUUGAAACUCUUAUGAACCACAAAGCCAAUAUAAAAGCUCUGUUUCAAUCCAACGGCUGGAUUUUGUCACAGACCACCGCUAAGCCUGAAGAGGGAAGAGAAGUGGAGUGCUGCGUUUUGGAAGAUGGUUACUUGGA
Molecule: long non-coding RNA, 3974 nt
Organism: Brassica napus (rape)
Lineage: Eukaryota; Viridiplantae; Streptophyta; Magnoliopsida; Brassicales; Brassicaceae
Exons: 3
Source: RefSeq, a predicted model, not a curated record